RNAcentral lists this ribosomal RNA (373 nucleotides) under Listeria monocytogenes. Its description in RNAcentral is "bacterial SSU rRNA". It matches the Rfam family "Bacterial small subunit ribosomal RNA", at positions 907 to 1282 of the family's 1533-position model. The record is from RNAcentral. Lineage: Bacteria; Bacillati; Bacillota; Bacilli; Caryophanales; Listeriaceae.
GAAUUGACGGGGGCCCGCACAAGCGGUGGAGCAUGUGGUUUAAUUCGAAGCAACGCGAAGAACCUUACCAGGUCUUGACAUCCUUUGACCACUCUGGAGACAGAGCUUUCCCUUCGGGGACAAAGUGACAGGUGGUGCAUGGUUGUCGUCAGCUCGUGUCGUGAGAUGUUGGGUUAAGUCCCGCAACGAGCGCAACCCUUGAUUUUAGUUGCCAGCAUUUAGUUGGGCACUCUAAAGUGACUGCCGGUGCAAGCCGGAGGAAGGUGGGGAUGACGUCAAAUCAUCAUGCCCCUUAUGACCUGGGCUACACACGUGCUACAAUGGAUAGUACAAAGGGUCGCGAAGCCGCGAGGUGGAGCUAAUCCCAUAAAAC